Molecule: ribosomal RNA, 1247 nt
Filed under: Sporisorium doidgeae
Lineage: Eukaryota; Fungi; Basidiomycota; Ustilaginomycetes; Ustilaginales; Ustilaginaceae
Description: LSU rRNA
Rfam family: Eukaryotic large subunit ribosomal RNA
Source: RNAcentral
CCCUAGUAACGGCGAGUGAAGAGGGAAGAGCCCAAGAUUGAAAGCUGGCGUCUUCGGCGUCCGCUUUGUAAUCUCAAGAAGUGUUUUCCGCUUCGGACCAUGCCUAAGUCCCCUGGAAAGGGGCAUCAUAGAGGGUGAUAAUCCCGUACAUGGCAUGGAGCGCCCGAAGCUUUGUGAUACGCUUUCUAAGAGUCGAGAAGUUUGGGAAUGCAGCUCAAAAUGGGUGGUAAAUGCCAUCUAAGGCUAAAUAUUGGGGAGAGACCGAUAGCGAACAAGUACAGUGAUGGAAAGAUGAAAAGAACUUUGAAAAGAGAGUUAAACAGUACGUGAAAUUGCCAAAAGGGAAGGGUAGGAGGUCAGAGAUGCGUCUUGGGAUUCAGCCUUGCUUCUGCUUGGUGUUUUUCCCAAGUGUGCAGGCCAACGUCGGUUUUGGGCACUGGAGAAGGGUGGAAGGAACGUGGCACCUCUCGGGGUGUGUUAUAGCCUUCUACUGGAUACAGCGACCGAGACCGAGGACAGCAGCGUACUCGCAAGAGCGGGCCUUCGGGCACCUUUACGCUUAGGGCGUUGGCAUAAUGGCCCUCUACCACCCGUCUUGAAACACGGACCAAGGAGUCUAACAUGUAUGCGAGUCUUUGGGUGGCAAACCCAUAGGCGCAAUGAAAGUGAAUUCAGGUGGGAUCCGCAAGGUGCACCAUCGACCGAUCCUCACGUCUUUUAAGUCGUGGAUUUGAGUAAGAGCAUACCUGUUGGGACCCGAAAGAUGGUGAACUAUGCCUGAAUAGGGUGAAGCCAGAGGAAACUCUGGUGGAGGCUCGUAGCGGUUCUGACGUGCAAAUCGAUCGUCAAAUUUGGGUAUAGGGGCGAAAGACUAAUCGAACCAUUAUAGAAUGUGCUAGGUGGUUAAGAGGGUGCUAAAAGGGCAACCCUAGUGGGCGCUGAGGCUCGCGACACUGUCAAAAUGCGGGGACACCCUAAAGCUUUCAAUACCAAGCCGGCGUGGAAACACAGUCGGUGGCCGAGUUAAUGACCCUGGGUAUGGUAAAAACUUGAAAGAUGGAACAAUGGGCGAUCCGCAGCCAAGCUCUAAGGGUCGCAAGAUCUAUGAGUGCAGUUCACAGACUAGAUGGCAGUGGGUUCCGAAUGAAAAUUGGGGCUUAAGAUAUAGUCGGUCCUCUCUCGAAAGGGAGCUGGGGGAUGAAAGAUCGAGGUUCUUCAGCAGCAGACCUCUUUCCGGAAGCUCUGGG